CCGAAGUGGAGAAGGGUUUCUCGAGAACGGCACUCGCUCGAGAGUUAGUCGAUCCUAAGCUGCCGGCGGCAGCCACGAAACGGUCGAUCGGGCGCGAGCCCGGCAGCCACGACCGGGCAGCGAAGGGAAUUGGGAACCUCCUUCCCAACCCGGAACCGGAACGAGGGCGGCGACGCGAACGAAACGGCCGCGGAGACGGCGGCCGCGGCCCCGGAGAGAGUUCUCUUUUCUGUGCGACUGGACGUCGGCCCCGGAAUCGCGUCGAGCGGAGGGGGGUCGGAGUUCAGGAAUAGCACCCCGGCCUUUCGGGGUGUCCGGGGCGGCCGCGGUCGUCCCAUGAAAAUCCGCGGAUGAACGAGUAGGCGACGGUCCGGGUCGUACCAAUGACCGCAUCGGGUCUCCAAGGUUGAAAGCCUCUGGCUAACGGGAC
RNAcentral lists this ribosomal RNA (430 nucleotides) under uncultured eukaryote. RNAcentral's name for it is "eukaryotic LSU rRNA". It matches the Rfam family "Eukaryotic large subunit ribosomal RNA", at positions 1491 to 1896 of the family's 3401-position model. The record is from RNAcentral.